RNAcentral lists this ribosomal RNA (496 nucleotides) under uncultured bacterium. RNAcentral describes it as "partial 16S ribosomal RNA". It matches the Rfam family "Bacterial small subunit ribosomal RNA", at positions 28 to 507 of the family's 1533-position model. The record is from RNAcentral.
GAUGAACGCUGGCGGCGUGCCUAAUACAUGCAAGUCGAGCGCAGGAAGUUGGUACUUGUACCUACUGGAUGAGCGGCGAACGGGUGAGUAACGCGUGGGGAAUCUGCCUUUGAGCGUGGGACAACUUUUGGAAACGAAUGCUAAUACCGCAUAAAAACUUUAAACACAAGUUUUAAGUUUGAAAGAUGCAAUUGCAUCACUCAAUGAUGAUCCCGCGUUGUCUUAGCUAGUUGGGAGGGUAAAGGCCCACCAAGGCAAUGAUGCAUAACCGACCUGAGAGGGUGAUCGGCCACAUUGGAACGGGAAAACGCUCCAAACUCCUCCGGGAGCAAGAAGUGGGGAACCUUCGGAAAGGGGCGAAAGCCUGACGGGGAAACGCGGCGUGGGGGAUGAAGGUCUUCGGUCGGUAAAACCCUUUUAUUGGGAAGGAAGUUAGGGGUAAUUAAAUGCGCAUAUAGUGACGGUAACUACCCAGAAAGCCACGGCUAACUACGUG